CCGCUUUCAGUAGGGAAGAAGCGAAAGUGACGGUACCUACAAAAGAAGCACCGGCUAACUAUGUGCCAGCAGCCGCGGUAAUACAUAGGGUGCAAGCGUUGUCCGGAAUUAUUGGGCGUAAAGAGCUCGUAGGUCGUUUGCCACGUCGGAUGUGAAAACCUGAGGCUCAACCUCAGGCCUGCAUUCGAUACNAGCAAACUAGAGUUUGGUAGGGGAGACUGGAAUUCCUGGUGUAGCGGUGGAAUGCGCAGAUAUCAGGAGGAACACCAACGGCGAAGGCAGGUCUCUGGGCCAAUACUGACACUGAGGAGCGAAAGUCUGGGGAGCGAACAGGAUUAGAUACCCUGGUAGUCCA
This 355-nucleotide ribosomal RNA is filed under the name uncultured Actinomycetes bacterium. Its description in RNAcentral is "bacterial SSU rRNA". It matches the Rfam family "Bacterial small subunit ribosomal RNA", at positions 430 to 797 of the family's 1533-position model. Lineage: Bacteria; Bacillati; Actinomycetota; Actinomycetes. The record is from RNAcentral.